AUCCUCCGGCCAACUGCUCCCGUCGCCAUAGCAACCGAGCUUCCCAGCUCCAUGCAACUCCGAGGCCGGACUCCCAGAUUAAAUUUUAGGAGUUUCCAGUAGGGCAACUGUGCAAGAUGGUGAGGUCAGGACGACGCUAGCCUCGAGAUUGUCUGGCUUCCUUUAACUCGCUUUGCCCCCGCUCUGUUGCUUCUUGGAGACCCUGUGGUCCGAGGUAUUGUCUAGAAACUCAGAAUCCCUGGAAUCCCGCCCACGAUUUCAACACCUUUCAAAAUUUCUUCGAUCCUGGUUAACCUAAAAUGGAGAACUGGCUCUCUCAAGAGACAUCCCAUGCCAUUUUCUUCUCCCUUCUACUCUGCCCCAAAUACUUCCUUAUGUGAAGUCAAAUUUAUCUCCCCGACUCGCAUCUUUUGCUUCCGUCUUGAGUCCUCCUCCCAGGGACUUCCUAAACCAGUGGGCUCACUUCUCCAAGAGAUCCUUUAUCUAACUGUAGUCGGGAUUAAUGUCUUUCUAAACCGUCUUCUCGGCCUAAUCAGCCCCAGUUCUUUCAAAUUGUCCUUCACUGAUGAACCCUAUGACUUCUAAAGAUCCAAACAGACAGAGAGAGAGAAGUUCAAUGGAGAACUCUGGAAAAUCCUAGAGGGAGCUACUUAGUGAUAGGAGCAGAGCCAGAUGGAUUGCCUUGAGAGCCAGAGCAGAGAAUUAAGCUUUUGUGCGUGUGUAAAAACAAGAAGGGACAAUGAGCAUGUAAUCACAUCUCUGACAGGGUGAGUAGCAUCUUGGGUUGUGUAUAGGAUGGUAGAAGUCUUGUCUGUUUUAGAAUCUGACGCAUCUGGGUUCAGUCCUUAACAUCUCCCCCUUGUUACCCUGACCCCUCUCCUUCCCGCCCCUCUCCUUUCCAUUUCUUCAUCCCUUCGUUCCUUCCACAAACUUUCUUGAACUCUACUUUGUUUUAGGUGUUAUGUACGCUUCCCGGAUAAAAGUUGUACAGGAUGUGUUCUGUGUCUUCAAGGAGGGUGGGGUCCGGUGGAGGCAGGAGCUAACCCGAUAGACAAUGACACUACGGCGUGGUCAGUGCUUUGGUCUAGAAGGUCAGAAGAGGGUGCAAGAGCAAAAGGACUGUUAAUCACAAUGGGUUUUGUGACGAGGUGGUUGGGAGUGGGCGUGUGGGAGCAGAGUGCUUGCCAGAAAAGGGGCCACCAGCUAAGCGGCAGGCAGUUGAACAUAGGUAAAAAUGGAGGAAAGGCUGCAGACAGGACUGAGACAGCAGUUGGCGGAGCCAAGAAGAGCUCCACAUGAUUGGAAAGAUCAGUGUCAGCAGGGGAGCAGAAGGAAAGGCGGGCAGAAACCAGAUCGCGACGGGCCUGGUGUGUUAAGAUAAGGAUUUGCUAUUAUUCGGAAAGCAUACGGAAAGCUCCAAGGAGAUUUUUAUUCUUGAAAGUUAAGGAAAGUAACUGCUAGAUUUAGGGCAUCAAGAUCAUUUCUGCAUUUGGCUCUGUGAGCUUGGGCACCAUAACCUUUAUGAGCUACGUCCGUAAAAUCUGUAAGCAGACUAAUCUAGAACCUUCCUUGCUGAGCUACUGUAAAAAGAAGACAGUGGCUAUAGGGCACCUAGUACAGUAUCUGGGUUUAUAGUUAUGAUAUGGGGGAUAUCUCCAAAAACAAAGAACCGUGGCUUGGCAAUCAGGGAGAAUGCUGAACUGGAAGUAAGGUCUGUCUUUAAACCUGGAUUCUGCCGCGUCCUGGCUCUAUGACCUUGAGCAUGUCCCUUGACUUCUCUGAGCAAACAAACGGUAUCAACUUCACAAGGUUAAGUCAGGGUAGUGCCUGCGACAGAAGUCUCUUUUUUCUUUUCCUUUUGGGGCUGCAGGGCUUUUGGACGUCAACCAUCUGCUUUAUGAGGAAGACCAUCCUGGGGUGGGAUACCAUGCUCUGAAGAAUAAUCUCUGGAAUCCUGAUUAGCAAAGCAGCAUAUCAGGAGCACCAUCUGGAGGAUCAGAUGGGGAGGCUGCCCGCGGGCUGCAAUUGGAGGGGCCUGGACAGCGGAAGUGUGGAAGAUAUGGAAGUGUGGCUAUCAGUCUCCUUGAGGAGCAUCCCAGCUGAGUGCCACGUGAGCCAUCAGGGAGCCUUACCUCCCGGGACCGAAUUGUUACCCCAUGUUAUCGUCUCCAGUGCUCUCAUGCCAUCAGAUCAGUCCGGUAGUUUUUAAGCUUAAAAAAAACAACAACAUCACAUUAGAAACAUCUUCUUCUUAAGAUGUCCUUAUGAAGCAAUGACACCCCUUUGGAAAACAAGCCCAAAAAUCUCUAAAGUCAAAUAAAAAAAAUAUAUGCCUGCCCUGCUUGGAAAUUAGAAUGUGGUCCUGAGGUCUUACCCACUAGCUUCUCUCCCCAUAUGCAAAUCCAUCCCUGAGGGCUUCACAGAGCAAGAGUGAAAACUAUAGCUCUAGUCCAACUCCUCCAAUUUGUAGAUGAGGAAACUAGGGAUUAAGAGAUUGUCCAAGGGUCAGUAAUUAGGGAUCGAGUUGGGACUGAAAUCACAUUCUUCUGGUCCUGAUCUCAGUGCAUUAUCCUAGCCCUGGACUCACAGCUAUUUGCUUUCAGAAGAGGGGUGGCUACAGUGAUGUCGUGUCUCGUGGGCUGGGAGAUACAAGAAGCAGUGGGAGAAUUUGAGGAACCUGAUGCCCUCUCUUCUGUAGGAGCCCUAGUGGAAGCCUCCAGACCAGGUCCUUCCUGGGGGCAAAAUACACAUCUUUUGAGUUGGGAUGAAAUGCUGUGGUUUCAGGCAAGAGUCUCAGGGAGCCCACAGUCUACCUACCCUCCACCUCCAGUGUGAGACAUUCCCUGUGUCAACGAGAGUAGGACUCUGAGGAGCCGCCUUCCCCCAGGAAUGUUCUAUGCUUCUGGAAAUGGUCUCUGAGCUUUUAGGCUCAGGCCGAAAAACCCCAAAUUGCUAGUUUACUGUUUAUACAAGCAAAUUCAUAAUAACUUGCUGCAUCUCUCAAGUGUAAAAGAGGACCAGAGCAAAGCCUGCUUGGGAUGCUUGUUGAACUCUUAGGUUUCCCUCCCAAAGAACAACUCGUUUGGCACAUUAAUAUUUAUAACAGUAAAAUAAGAUAAAAUAAAAUAAAAUAAAAUAAAAUAAAAUAAAAUAAAAUAAAACAUCAUAACUUGAAGAUUUUUCCUGAGCCUCUGGUUGUCCCAAAGCAUUCAGUGAGGUCCUUCGUUUCUUCUUAACCUUACCGGGUCCCCUGUAUGUGGAGUGUCCUGAACCAUCAAGAAACAAAGUUGCCUGCUGAAAUCAUCACUGCUGUGACGAGACAGUGGUACUCCCCACACAUUCCAUCUGCUCCGUCGCACUUGCCAAAUCCCUUGCAUUUAGGGGGGGCCACGAGGCUAGUUCUGACUAAUGAAAUGUGAGCUGAGAUGGUGAAAAGCCUAUGUGCAAAUCUCCAGGCUCUCACUGCCACCAGCACUUUCCAGAUGGUGAAGCCCCCAUCAGCCUAAGACCUGAGUGAUUCUGAUAAGCAAAGUACCAUCCCACAAUGGACCUGUGCUGGACAUAUAUCAUGAAUGAAGCAGAAACCUUUGCUGUUUUAAGCCACUGAGAUUUCAUGGCUAAUCUGUUAUGUAGCAUAACCUCGCUAAUCGUGACAAAUACCGAGGAAUUUGGGUUCAAGGCAAGGAAGCCCGAGGACCUGCUCUGGCGGGAGCUACCCUGGUCGGUCCCGGGCUUUCAAGCAGCGGUGUGCUGGGGCGGGCUCAUGCCAGCCUUGAGCAGCCGAUGGAUCGCGCACACCUUGUCCCCACCUUGCAUUCAGUGACGUUGCCCUGGUAACUUGUGAUUGGCUCUGGCAGGAGUGGUCACUCCACAGAAACCGGCAAAGGCUACAGGUCAUGUCAUUUCUCACCCACCCUGGCAAACUGGCUGCUAUACAUUUACCAGCAUUCCACUGGUUUCAAGUCUCUGCAGAGACAGUCAAGGUGGGGAGUAGGAAAUGGGAAAGGAGGGCCUUUGGGAAAUAAGAACCCUUUCAGCCCUUAACUCUUUCUUACAUUUUCUGUAAGAGAAAAUUUGGUAGAGAGACACUCUGCGACUUGCGGUUUUCUCUACAUGCUAGGAUAAAGUGCUGGAAUCCUGUCUUUGACAGCAUAUCCUAAACCUCAGGAUUCUGAGCUCAUUUUAUCUCAGCUGUUACCUUUGCACAGGAUAGGAAUGCCAGUGUCUCCUUCCACCGUGAGUCGGCAACCCCCAGCAGGGCCUCUGUGCCUUUCGGAUUUUCAAGGGAGCAGCAGAAACUGGCCGCUUUCAUUCUGACUUAGCUACUUGCAUGCAUUUCUUUCCCCUUUCUCACCAAAAUCCUUCGUGAAUACAAACCAAACAGAUUCAAGGUUGAUUUGCUGGAAGUCUGAUGUUAAAUUUA
Acinonyx jubatus (cheetah) is the source of this 4423-nucleotide long non-coding RNA. RefSeq lists it as uncharacterized. Lineage: Eukaryota; Metazoa; Chordata; Mammalia; Carnivora; Felidae. The transcript has 3 exons. The record is from RefSeq and is a predicted model, not a curated record.